Molecule: long non-coding RNA, 915 nt
Organism: Arvicola amphibius (Eurasian water vole)
Lineage: Eukaryota; Metazoa; Chordata; Mammalia; Rodentia; Cricetidae
Exons: 3
Source: RefSeq, a predicted model, not a curated record
UUGGGAGUAUGGGGUGUUGUAUUGGUGACCUGUAGCCGAUGCCCAUCCACCAACCACGUGACGACAGGUUUGUGCCUGGCUGUUUCACAAAUCCCAGAGUUCUGUCUUCAUAUCCCAGCCGACUUCCUGCCGAAACGGGGAUCGACGCUCAGUGCUCUCGAAGAGCCGUAUUUAGCUGUACCUUUCUUCAUUAUUGCAGCCUGGCUCAUGGCAGUGUAGCGAAGGUGUUGGUGACCUCCAUUCACUUCUUUGGUCACCCCACAAGUGACUUCUUGGGUGCUGUGCAUUCUUCUGGGGCUUGGAGGAAGGCACUACACAAGUCUGUUCCCUUUGAGGGAGAACAUCCUUAGAAGUCAAGGGGAGUUUCUGAGCUAUUACAGGCAACUGGUCUGUGGCAAGCUGACCAAGGAGAGCUAAGAUUCCCAAACACCAGGACAGAAAGCAAGGCCAGCCCAGAGAGGUUCUGCUCCGUGUGACAAACAACUUGAAGAUCUUCUUUGAUCUCAGUUCUGGGCACAAGUGAGUCUCUCGAGCCUGUCCAGUUGAGAAUGACAAGAAGGCCCACUGUGUGUGCAGCAGCGUAGAUCUGAGAGGCCAUUCCGCCCAACACCUUUUGAGAAGACCUGCAUCACAGUAAUGGAACGGAUUGAAGAGCAGCUAGCUAGCUGCCUUUGAGAGCGAUGCCUACCUGCUCCCUGGAGCCUGAAGGCUAAAAUUAGGGCUGUUGUGGAAGCUUCAGAAUGCUGCAUUCUAAGUCAGCAGGAGGUCAAGGGUGUGCAGUCCCUUAGAAGAUGGACAGGUGGGAGGGACAUCCAGAGGAGAUUUCAGCUGUGCCAUCCGUCCUUCUUCUGAGAUUUGUAGAUCAUCUCAAGAGCCUUAUUUGAUUGGAAAUAAAGAUUUUGCUCUGAUUCUCAA